Molecule: ribosomal RNA, 251 nt
Filed under: uncultured prokaryote
Description: partial 16S rRNA
Rfam family: Bacterial small subunit ribosomal RNA
Source: RNAcentral
ACAGAGGUCCCAAGCGUUGUUCGGAUUCACUGGGCGUAAAGGGUGCGUAGGUGGCUGGGUAAGUUCGGUGUGAAAUCUCCAGGCUCAACCUGGAAAUGGCAUUGAAUACUAUUCAGCUCGAGGGUUGUAGGGGAGACUGGAAUUCUCGGUGGUGCAGUGAAAUGCGUAGAUAUCGAGAGGAACACCAGUGGCGAAGGCGGGUCUCUGGAAAACUCCUUACACUGGGGCAAGGAAGGUAGGGGAGCAAACAG